UACGGGGGGGGCAAGCGUUGUUCGGAAUUCCUGGGCGUAAAGGGCUCGUAGGUGGCCAACUAAGUCAGACGUGAAAUCCCUCGGCUUAACCGGGGAACUGCGUCUGAUACUGGAUGGCUUGAGUUCGGGAGAGGGAUGCGGAAUUCCAGGUGUAGCGGUGAAAUGCGUAGAUAUCUGGAGGAACACCGGUGGCGAAGGCGGCAUCCUGGACCACGACUGACGCUGAGGAGCGAAAGCCAGGGGAGCAAACGGG
RNAcentral lists this ribosomal RNA (253 nucleotides) under uncultured bacterium. RNAcentral describes it as "partial 16S ribosomal RNA". It matches the Rfam family "Bacterial small subunit ribosomal RNA", at positions 524 to 776 of the family's 1533-position model. The record is from RNAcentral.